Molecule: non-coding RNA, 270 nt
Organism: Pelobates cultripes (western spadefoot toad)
Lineage: Eukaryota; Metazoa; Chordata; Amphibia; Anura; Pelobatidae
Source: the annotation of a GenBank genome assembly
CUGCACUUUUUCUAGUGCCAUAAUAUCCUUCUUUAGAACAGGUGCCCAAAAUUGCAAAAAAUUAAAAACCCUUUUAAACACUUACCUAAAUUCCUCCUCCCACAAUAUCAAGCAUAAGGAGGACCUAAUGUACAUGCGCGGCAAGCACUGCACACAAUUUCUCAUCCCCCUGCAACUUUUAGGCCUCACACAGUAUAAAAGCAAUACUGUAUCUCUUCAUUUCUAAUCUCCCUGCGAUUUUCAGAUACUGACAGCAGCUGGGAAGUUACU